UGGGGAAUUUUGGACAAUGGGCGAAAGCCUGAUCCAGCAAUGCCGCGUGUGUGAAGAAGGCCUUCGGGUUGUAAAGCACUUUUGUCCGGAAAGAAAUCCUUGGCUCUAAUACAGUCGGGGGAUGACGGUACCGGAAGAAUAAGCACCGGCUAACUACGUGCCAGCAGCCGCGGUAAUACGUAGGGUGCAAGCGUUAAUCGGAAUUACUGGGCGUAAAGCGUGCGCAGGCGGUUUGCUAAGACCGAUGUGAAAUCCCCGGGCUCAACCUGGGAACUGCAUUGGUGACUGGCAGGCUAGAGUAUGGCAGAGGGGGGUAGAAUUCCACGUGUAGCAGUGAAAUGCGUAGAGAUGUGGAGGAAUACCGAUGGCGAAGGCAGCCCCCUGGGCUAAUACUGACGCUCAUGCACGAAAGCGUGGGGGGCAAACAGGAUUAGAUACCCCUGGUAGUCCACGCCCUAAAACGAUGUCAACUAGUUGUUGGGGAUUCUUCCUAGUAACGUAGCUAACGCGUGAAGUUGACCGCCUGGGGAGUACGGUCGCAAGAUUAAAACUCAAAUGAAUUGACGGGGUCAUAGCUGUUUCCU
Molecule: ribosomal RNA, 584 nt
Filed under: uncultured bacterium
Lineage: Bacteria
Description: partial 16S ribosomal RNA
Rfam family: Bacterial small subunit ribosomal RNA
Source: RNAcentral